Pseudoliparis swirei is the source of this 1859-nucleotide long non-coding RNA. RefSeq lists it as uncharacterized. Lineage: Eukaryota; Metazoa; Chordata; Actinopteri; Perciformes; Liparidae. The record is from RefSeq and is a predicted model, not a curated record. The transcript is spliced from 2 exons.
UGGAAUAUGUAGCGCCCUGAAAUGUUAUUUCAUAUCUCUUACUGAUGUAAUUCAACGGCGUCCAUUUUUUUUAUAAUUUGUGUUUAAGGUAAUUCAUGUGUUGUGCACAUACUAACUUAAGGUAGGAAAGUGCUCGUUGUUCCGUUGGAAGAGAGCGCUGUGUGUUUCAGAGAGAGCUUUGUGUUUCAGAGAGAGUCGUGUGUAAAGCUGGCCGGCUGAAGUAAACAGAGUACGUUUGCUUUAACCGGGAAAAAAGAAGAACGAAGUUUUUUUUUGUUCAUGUCAAAGGAGCAACAAAUACAGAAUUAAGUUUCCUUCAACAAGUUAUUUAAUGAGACUUCCUUUGCCACGCUUGUUCUGUAAGUUUCAUUUACAAGGAAACCGAAACUUAAGGAGCUGCACAGGCGCUCACAAACACAGAUCAGAAAUCGCGCGGCAGCGGACUGAGAACUCCCUUUUGGCACUCUCCCACAUUAUUGGAUGAUGAUGAAGACAGGAAGAGUCGUGAGCUGCUGUGUAGCUCUGUUCCUUGCCCUGACCUCAGUGUCGGCUGUCGAGAGAAAGCUCGAUUCAAUCAAGGACUUGAAGGAAAUCAACUUUGGUCAAUCUGUGCCCAAACACAGUCUUUUGCUGCUCUACUGGUUUGCCAACGCAGUGGACAUCGACUGGACCAACACUAUGAGGCUGACCUUCGAUCCAGAGAGUAGAGCUUAUGGCUCACAUUAUUAUGGCAACUUUGAGAGAGUGUUGGACGACCUGCCUUGGGGAAAUAGAUACCAGUACUACACACUUGGCAGUCUCAAUCAAGAAAGUUCCAUGCAACUUCCUCCUUAUGUUGUCCGUCCCCCAGCAUCAGGGUAUGAGGGCAAUAACAGGGACAGGAUCAUAGUUCGUAUAAGGAGGCCAAACACAGGACAGCAAGUUCCCCAGACGAUAGACCAAGUUUAUAUCACACAGCAUCUUAACAACCAGCGGGAAUAUGAUCCAGAUCAUACCUACAGGAUCACGACUAACCUCUUGAGAGAGAUCAGAGAGUUUUCUGGUGGACAAAACCAUCAGCAACUGGUGCAACUCAGCAACCGCUUUGGAAGCAACGCUGAUGAUUCCUGGUCGAGGCACAUGAUAAACACGUGGGCUCCUAACCUCUCUGGCCUUGGACUGCUGUUGUAUAUUCUGACGGAGGAAAGGUCCUCCUCUCACCAACGCAACAACAGGCAAAAUAAUUGGGCUUUGAUUCUUUUUUUCAUCUUUAUUGUUGCAUGCUUCAUUAUAUUUGGGAACUUAAAUCAAAAGUAACGGGGAGUAAUGUAAUGAGAGUGCUUCUCAAGAGAUGAGGAUAACAACGCUCAGGCAGGUACGACGGGGUUGUUGUUCUCGAGUGUUGUACACUUUGUUUGACGUUCAUAUUUCUUCUAUUAUUGUGUAUACUAUUUUAGCUUAUUGUUUUUUUACAAUGCACUGCUCUGGCAAGUUUAAAGUCAUCGUUAUUGUACAUUUUUCAAUGUUGAACAUACAGAAAAUCGAAAGUACGUUUGUCUCUUUUUGUUCGACAAAGUGAAUAAUAGUCAUAAUAGUAAUAAGGUAGUUCAUAAAGCUUGAGGCUUCUUUCAUGCUACAAUGUCCCGCUGUGAUAUGUACAUGUGUGUGUUCUUAUAGUGACGCCCUGUUGAUUCAUCCUGUCUGAUGGAGAUUAAGAGAAUGUAAAUUGCUCUGACUGAAAAAUGAAACGAGUGAAAGGUUCUCCAUCUCUGCUUUGACAAUUCAUUACCUUUACACACAAGAAACAGGAGUGCAUUUCAUGAAUGGUUUUCUGUUCUUUUUAUCGUGUUGGAUAUUGUUCAUUAAACUCGUUAACAGCC